RNAcentral lists this ribosomal RNA (424 nucleotides) under uncultured bacterium. Its description in RNAcentral is "partial 16S ribosomal RNA". It matches the Rfam family "Bacterial small subunit ribosomal RNA", at positions 360 to 776 of the family's 1533-position model. The record is from RNAcentral.
AAUUUUGGACAAUGGGCGCAAGCCUGAUCCAGCCAUGCCGCGUGAGUGAAGAAGGCCUNCGGGAUNUNAAGCUCUUUCGGACGGANAGAAAUCGCGCAGGCUGAUACCCCGCGCGGAUGACGGUACCGUCAUAAGAAGCACCGGCUAACUACGUUGCAGCAGCCGCGGUAAUACGUAGGGCGCGAGCGUUAAUUGGAAUUACUGGGCGUAAAGCGUGCGCAGGCGGUUGAUUAAGACAGACGUGAAAUCCCCGGGGUUAACCUGGGAACUGAGCUUGUGGCUGGUCAGCUAGAGUACGGCAGAGGGGGGUGGAAUUCCACGUGUAGCAGUGAAAUGCGUAGAGAUGUGGAGGAACACCGAUGGCGAAGGCAGCCCCCUGGGCCGAUACUGACGCUCAUGCACGAAAGCGUGGGUAGCAAACAGG